AACACAACCAGAACACCGAUACUAUUUCUACCAGUCAUUUAUUUAAAGAUAAUAAUUACAGAAAAAAAAUAACUUCAACCAUCAAAUAAGUACAUGACAAAGAAAGGUCAAACCAAUAAUAAAUAAAACUCAAGAGUUUUUAUAUGCUUAUUAUUCAACACUUUUUAAGUUAUUCAACUUUAACUAAAUACUGAAUAAUUACAGGCCAAACGAAACUGAUGUUCGUUACCAGUUUAAAUUUUAGGAAGUCAACAAUCAACGUGGGGCCAGCUACCUCAAGAAGUAUCCGCACAAAAAUGUGGUGCGAUAUAUAUUCAACUCAUGUCAUAAAGCCAUAAAGUACUGUUGUUAACAUGUCUUAAAUUUCAUGUUUGGGAUGAAAAAAAGUAAACUUGCCCUCUCUUCCUCAUCAUUUUUCAGCAUCUCUUGACCAGAACGAAUAAAAUUCGAGUCGCCACCCGCAAACAUUUUUCCAAUCGCAUACAGAAGAGACGCAAGCGCGUGAUCUUCACCGUUGGAUAGGUUUCGAAACUCCGAACUUUUUUUAUGUGCGAUUGCAACCAUAAAUAUUAAUGUAAACGGUGGUAGCCAUGCACUACCCAGGCGAGAAGAUAAGUAAGCAGUACCAGUGCCCCAAAUCUUUCUUCUUCCCAACGCAUCAGAAAUUUAUCAUAUUUAUUUUGUUACUACUAAUGUUGAUAUAAAAUAAAUUAAACUUAUGUUCUGUUUUA
Molecule: long non-coding RNA, 731 nt
Organism: Folsomia candida
Lineage: Eukaryota; Metazoa; Arthropoda; Collembola; Entomobryomorpha; Isotomidae
Exons: 2
Source: RefSeq, a predicted model, not a curated record